RNAcentral lists this ribosomal RNA (253 nucleotides) under uncultured bacterium. Its description in RNAcentral is "partial 16S ribosomal RNA". It matches the Rfam family "Bacterial small subunit ribosomal RNA", at positions 524 to 776 of the family's 1533-position model. The record is from RNAcentral.
UACAGAGGGGGCAAGCGUUAUUCGGAAUUAUUGGGCGUAAAGGGCGCGUAGGCGGCCGAGCAAGUCUUGGGUGAAAUCCCUCGGCUCAACCGAGGAACUGCCUUGGAAACUGCUCGGCUUGAGGCCGGGAGAGGAUGGUGGAAGUCCCAGUGUAGCGGUGAAAUGCGUAGAUAUUGGGAGGAACACCAGUGGCGAAGGCGGCCAUCUGGACCGGUCCUGACGCUGAGGCGCGAAAGCGUGGGGAGCAAACAGG